GACGAACGCUGGCGGCGUGCUUAACACAUGCAAGUCGAACGGAAAGGCCCUGCUUGCAGGGUACUCGAGUGGCGAACGGGUGAGUAACACGUGGGUGAUCUGCCCUGCACUUCGGGAUAAGCCUGGGAAACUGGGUCUAAUACCGGAUAGGAGCCAUUUUUAGUGUGAUGGUUGGAAAGUUUUUUCGGUGUAGGAUGAGCUCGCGGCCUAUCAGCUUGUUGGUGGGGUAAUGGCCUACCAAGGCGGCGACGGGUAGCCGGCCUGGGAGGGUGGACGGCCACAUUGGGACUGAGAUACGGCCCAGACUCCUACGGGGGGCAGCAGUGGGGAAUAUUGCACAAUGGGCGCAAGCCUGAUGCAGCGACGCCGCGUGGGGGAUGACGGCCUUCGGGUUGUAAACUCCUUUCGCUAGGGACGAAGCUUUUUGUGACGGUACCUAGAUAAGAAGCACCGGCUAACUACGUG
Molecule: ribosomal RNA, 465 nt
Filed under: uncultured bacterium
Lineage: Bacteria
Description: partial 16S ribosomal RNA
Rfam family: Bacterial small subunit ribosomal RNA
Source: RNAcentral